Molecule: long non-coding RNA, 521 nt
Organism: Callithrix jacchus (white-tufted-ear marmoset)
Lineage: Eukaryota; Metazoa; Chordata; Mammalia; Primates; Cebidae
Source: RefSeq, a predicted model, not a curated record
CCUAAACUGCUGGGAUUACAGGCGUGAGCCACCGCUCCCAGUCUCCUGCUGUACUUUGCAGCUUUUCUCCCAGACUACGGCCAAGAAAGACGUCAUGCCAAGGGCACUGCCAAGGGAAGGCCUUUUGUACUCAGGUUAAAUAAGAACAUCCUGCAAGGAGUCUGUUCUUUUAUGCAGCCUAAGAUCAAGUAACAAUCACUCACAUCGAUAUUGAGUAUUCGAUUUUGAGGACUGGUAGAGAUGGGGUUUUGCCAUGUUGACCAGGCUGGUGUCAAACUCCCGACCUCAGGUGAUCCACCCUACUCAGCCUCCCAAAGUGCUAGGAUUACAGGCAUGAGCCACCGCACCCAGCCCAUUUAUCAUUAUUUUUGAAGAGUUCUGGCAGAAUAAAAAAAGUUAUUCUAUGUGUUUUUUUAAUGAUUUGUUUAAAAAAAUUAAAAAUCCUGCAAGGUGCUUAAGAGAUGCCAUCUCUAAACAUUCAGUUAAAUAUGAAUUGUGUACUCAAUUUGUAGCUAUUAGUU